UCCUGGGUAGCUCAGUCGGUAGAGCAGGUGACUGUUAAUCACCCUGUCGGGGGUUCGAGUCCCUCCCCAGGAGCCA
RNAcentral lists this transfer RNA (76 nucleotides) under Desulfobulbaceae bacterium. RNAcentral describes it as "tRNA-Asn". It matches the Rfam family "tRNA". From Rfam's summary of the family: Transfer RNA (tRNA) molecules are approximately 80 nucleotides in length. Their secondary structure includes four short double-helical elements and three loops (D, anti-codon, and T loops). The record is from RNAcentral. Lineage: Bacteria; Pseudomonadati; Thermodesulfobacteriota; Desulfobulbia; Desulfobulbales; Desulfobulbaceae.